Molecule: long non-coding RNA, 375 nt
Organism: Acromyrmex echinatior (Panamanian leafcutter ant)
Lineage: Eukaryota; Metazoa; Arthropoda; Insecta; Hymenoptera; Formicidae
Source: RefSeq, a predicted model, not a curated record
CUAGAGAGAUGAUCAAUUUCGAUUCCAAUUGCAUUGCCUAAUCGAUAAUAUAUCAUUUCGACACACACAUAAGAAACAUGUUCGUCCUUAUACACAAACACAGUUUGGAGGAGCACAUUUGUGUCAACUAUAAUCGUUUGUUUGAUUUCUUCUCAAUUUGGAGCGGUCGACGUUUAAUUAAAUGACGGAGGGCAUCGAACGGCAACCUGACGGGACAGAUAUUGGGUCAGACGAAGAAAAGGGAAAGACUCGAAAAAGGAAAAAGAAGAAAACCUACAGGUGACAGAAGGGUCGAAUAAACAUAUGUUGCAAUAGAUCAGUGUAAACGCAAACAAUUACGAGAAAGAAUGAAAAAUGUCGAGUGGGGUUUUCGGA